Molecule: transfer RNA, 86 nt
Filed under: archaeon
Lineage: Archaea
Description: tRNA-Ser
Rfam family: tRNA
About the family: Transfer RNA (tRNA) molecules are approximately 80 nucleotides in length. Their secondary structure includes four short double-helical elements and three loops (D, anti-codon, and T loops). Further hydrogen bonds mediate the characteristic L-shaped molecular structure. tRNAs have two regions of fundamental functional importance: the anti-codon, which is responsible for specific mRNA codon recognition, and the 3' end, to which the tRNAs corresponding amino acid is attached (by aminoacyl-tRNA synthetases). tRNAs cope with the degeneracy of the genetic code in two manners: having more than one tRNA (with a specific anti-codon) for a particular amino acid; and 'wobble' base-pairing, i.e. permitting non-standard base-pairing at the 3rd anti-codon position.
Source: RNAcentral
GCCGGGGUAGUCUAGUCUGGUAGGGCGCAGGCCUGGAAAGCCUGUGAACCUUUUGGUUCUCGGGAGUUCAAAUCUCCCCCCCGGCG